This 575-nucleotide ribosomal RNA is filed under the name uncultured bacterium. Its description in RNAcentral is "partial 16S ribosomal RNA". It matches the Rfam family "Bacterial small subunit ribosomal RNA", at positions 355 to 920 of the family's 1533-position model. The record is from RNAcentral.
UGGGGAAUUUUGGACAAUGGGCGAAAGCCUGAUCCAGCAAUGCCGCGUGUGUGAAGAAGGCCUUCGGGUUGUAAAGCACUUUUGUCCGGAAAGAAAUCCUUGGCUCUAAUACAGUCGGGGGAUGACGGUACCGGAAGAAUAAGCACCGGCUAACUACGUGCCAGCAGCCGCGGUAAUACGUAGGGUGCAAGCGUUAAUCGGAAUUACUGGGCGUAAAGCGUGCGCAGGCGGUUUGCUAAGACCGAUGUGAAAUCCCCGGGCUCAACCUGGGAACUGCAUUGGUGACUGGCAGGCUAAGUAUGGCAGAGGGGGGUAGAAUUCCACGUGUAGCAGUGAAAUGCGUAGAGAUGUGGAGGAAUACCGAUGGCGAAGGCAGCCCCCUGGGCCAAUACUGACGCUCAUGCACGAAAAGCGUGGGGAGCAAAACAGGAUUAGAUACCCCUGGGUAGUCCACGCCCUAAAACGAUGUCAACUAGUUGUUGGGGAUUCAUUCCUUAGUAACGUAGCUAACGCGUGAAGUUGACCGCCUGGGGAGUACGGUCGCAAGAUUAAAACUUAAAUGAAUUGACGGGGUC